This 4925-nucleotide unclassified non-coding RNA is filed under the name Aphidius gifuensis. RNAcentral describes it as "disabled homolog 2-interacting protein, transcript variant X8". Lineage: Eukaryota; Metazoa; Arthropoda; Insecta; Hymenoptera; Braconidae. The record is from RNAcentral.
GAAAAACAAAAAAAAUUAAAAGUGGAUAUAAUAAUAAGCAAGUUAUUAUUUUAAUGAUUCUUCAAUGUGUGUAUUUGUUGAAGUAAAUAUAAAAACGCUAUGGCAUUGAUGGAAAUAAAAUUGUGGGAUGUUAAUAAUGAUUUUUUAAAUGAUAAUAAUAAUGAUGAUAUUAUUGUUGAUGUUGUUGAUGAUGAUGAUGAUAAUGAUAAUGAUAAAAGUGUAAUAGCUGAUGGUAUUGAUGAUAUUGAUUGUAUCAGUAAUAGUGUUUUUGAACCAUUGAGCGAUUCAUGUGGCGAAAGCGAUAUGGAGGGACUUGAUUUCUCCAUGUUUGAGCCACAUCAAAUUGACACUGAUUUUAUACAUCCCUCACGAGUUUAUACGGGCACACUUGACCUUUUAAUAUCCAACUGUGAAGCAGACUGCUGCAUCAGCGAAUCAUCUGGUGAAGUAUGCUGGGAGCCUUGUUAUUGUGUACUUCUUCAGGAUGAACAGACACUCACUGCAUACCGAAAUGAAGACAUGGCUCACUUCGCAGGAACUGGAUGUGUCUUCAAAAAUCAUGGAAAGAUUGGUGAUGCAAUGUUUGUUGAAUUACCAAGAAUACGUCUUGAUGGUGGAGCAAGAACAUUUCGUCAAUAUUGGGGAUAUGAAACACGACCACUUGCUCCACCACCAACACUCAUUGAAGAGGAUGAAGCUGGUAUUGAACCAGAAACAGUUAGUCUACGUGAAACCAACACCGCAUCUCCAAUAGAUUGCUUCUUGAGAAAAGUACGAACUUUACCAGGUCGAAGUUUAAAAUAUCAACGACAUACAAUACAACCAGAAAUGACAUGCCCAUUAUCAAGAAUUAUUAUUGAUACAACUCGACAACAUUUAUUACCCAGUGAGUUAAAGUCUAUGUCAUUACCACGCGGUUUUCCUCCACUGGAAAAUACAGAUAACAUUAAAGAUACAUCGUAUGAGAAAGCAUGUAGAAGGGGCAGUGCACCAGCAACACCAGUUCUUGGAGCAAGGCCACUUGAUGUUACACCAAACAGAAUUGUUAAUUUUUUUUCAAAACGAUCAUUUCGUUCAAAUCCCUUGAAAAGAACCAAGAGUGUAACAAAACUUGAACGACAAAAACAACGUGGUAGUGGUGGUGGUUUACGAGGUUGUCGUUCACAUGAAUCAUUAUUGUGUGGUCAAGCUGUAACAGCAAUGGAUCUUGCUGCAGUUACACCAUUGCAUCCAAGUUUACUUGGACGACCUCAUUGUUUUCAAGUAACACCAAGUACUGGUGCACCAAAAUAUUUUAGCUGUAGAUCAGCACAUGAACGUGAUCAAUGGUUACACAGUUUACGUAAAUCAGUACAACCAGAUGCUGAACAAACACGUCGUACAGAUAAUUCAUUACAAAUAUGGUUACUUGAAGCAAAAGGUGUACCACCAAAAAAACGUUAUUAUUGUGAAGUAUGUCUUGAUAGUACACUUUAUGCACGUACAACAGCUAAACAAAAAACUGAAUUAUGUUUUUGGGGUGAACAUUUUGAUUUUCAUCAUUUACCAAUUGUUAAUAUAAUACAAGUAAAUUUAUAUCGUGAAGCUGAUCGUAAAAAAAAACGUGAUAAAAAUGUAUUAAUUGGUUCAGUAAGUAUACCAGUUAAAAAUGUAACAUCACGUUAUUUAACUGAAAAAUGGUAUCAAGUUAUUGGUGAAAAAGGUAUAUUAAAAGAUCAACCAGCAUUACGUGUUAAAUGUCGUUUUCAAUCAGUUGAUAUAUUACCAGUACAAAUAUAUACAGAAUUUUUAAAUUAUUUAAAAAAUGAUUAUUCCGUAUUAUGUGAAUGUCUUGAACCAAUGAUUGGUGUUAAAGCUAAAGAAGAUAUAUCAACAGCAUUAGUUGCUGUUAUGCAAUGUGAAAAAAAUGCAUCAAAAUUUUUAGCUGAUCUUGUUAUGAUGGAUAUACAUAGAAUUGAUGAUGAAAGAUUAACAUUUCGUGGUAAUUCAUUAGCAACAAAAGCUAUGGAAGCAUAUUUAAAAUUAACUGGUGAUCGUUAUUUACAAGAAACACUUGGUCCAGUUAUACGUGCUGCUGUUGAAGGUGGUGAUUGUGAAGUUGAUCCACUUAAAGUAUCAUCACCAGCAGCAUUACAUAAACAACAACAAAAUUUACGUUCAGCUGUUGAAUUUGCAUGGGGUAGAAUAUUAGCAAGUCAUUCAUUAUUUCCACUUGAAUUACGUGAAUGUUUUCGUAUAUUUCGUGAACGUUUAGCACAAUUAGGACGUGAUGAUAUUGCUGAUAAUUUAAUAUCAGCAUCAAUAUUUUUACGUUUUUUAUGUCCAGCAAUAUUAAGUCCAUCAUUAUUUAAUAUAACACAUGAAUAUCCAAAUGAAAAAGCUGCUAGAAAUUUAACACUUGUUGCUAAAAGUUUACAAACACUUGCUAAUUUUACACGUUUUCAAGGUAAAGAAAAUUUUAUGGAAUUUAUGAAUGAUUUAUUAGAACGUGAAGCUAAACCAAUGAAAAAUUUUUUACAAUUAAUUAGUACACCAUUAAAUAAUGAUUCAUCAAUUAAUAAUUCACUUGAAUUUGAUGGUUAUAUUGAUUUGGGUAAACAAUUAUCAUUAUUACAUGCAUUAUUAAGUGAAAGUUUAUCAACAACAAUGACAAAUACAUCAACAACAUCAUCAACAUCAUCAUCAUCAUCAACAUCAUCAUCAGCAUCAUCAACAACACAUCAAUCAUCAUCAUUAUUACCACCAAUUAAAUUAACUGAUAUACUUGAUAAAAUAACAAUUGCACUUGAUCAACCAGGACCAAGUCCAGUAACAACAACAACAACAUCAUCAUCAUCAUCAACAAUAACAUCAGCAACACGAAGAUAUCAACAUCAUGCACAUCAAAAUAAUAUUUUUCGUUAUAAUGAUCCAACAAUAAAUAAUAGUAAUACAAAUUUAUCAAUAUCAGCAACAUCAACAUUAAGUGGUCAUGAUACAAUUAAUAGUAAUCAUAAUAAUCCUUGUAUAUUACGUGAAAAUAGUGAUAGUGUAUUACAACAAACAAGUAGUAGUACACUUUAUAAUUCAACAACAAGUUUAACAAAAUCACCAAACGUAAAUGGUGUACGUUCAGCAACAUUACCAAGAAAUGCAUAUUUACCAACAACAAAUGGAAAAUUACAACUACAAAUAACAACAUCAUCAUCAACAAUAGCAACGAUACCAGCAACAACAGCAACAACAACUACAGCAACAACAAAUGAUGAUAAUUAUCAUCCAAUUGAAUCACCAGCAUUUGUAUCACGUUCACCAACACCAAUUUCACGUCAACAAAAUCGUUCAGCAUUGACUAACAAUCGUAAUAAUAAUAACAAUAAUAUUACAAAUAAUAACAAUAGUAAUACUUAUAAAUUAACAACAAGUGCAAGUUUAGCUAAUGUUAAUAAUUGUCGUGAACAAAAUUAUCAAACAACAAGUCCAUUACGUUCAGAAAGUCAUAGUAAUUUAAAAGAUUCAAAUUAUAAUAUUAAUAAAUUAAAUCAUUGUAAUAAUUAUGAUACAACAAUUAUUGGACAAAAUAAUCGUAAAUUAAUAAGUAAUAAUAAUCAUUUAAAUGAUGAUAAUUAUUUACCAACAACAAAUUUUAGUAUAAUACGUAGUGGUAGUAAAAAUCAUUGCAACAAAGAUGAUAAUUUAAAUCAGCACAAUUAUAAUAAUAAUAUAACAAAAACAACAGUUAAUGCUAAUCCAAUAAAUACAACAAAUUUAACAUUAUCAAUAAAUCAUCAUAAUCAACAAGGACAACAACAACAACAAAUAAAUAAUAAUUAUAAUAAUUUAAAAAUAAAUAGUAAUAAUAAUAAUACAACAACAACAACAAAUGGUAAUCUUGAUGAAAUAUCAGAUUUAUUAAGAUAUGCUGAUGAUGAAGUAUCUGAAAUAAAAUCACAAAAAGGUUCACAAAUAUCAAUAUCACAAUUAAGUAAUGUUGCAUCAUCUGGUUAUCAAAGUUUUGCAACAUAUAGCCAAAGUUCAAGUCCUGUUGAUUUAACAAAUAAUGGUAAUCAACAUAUUAUUAAUACAGCACCACUUGCAUUUGCAAAUCCAGUAUAUCAUAUGGAUAAUAAUAACAACAAUAAUAAUAAUAUUAAUAACAACAAUAAUAGCAACAAUAAUAACAAUAGUAAUGGUGUUAUUAGUGGUAGACGUGGUAGUACAAGCUCAGAUGAAAAUCGUGAUGUUAAUAAUACUAUUGGAGGUGGUGGUAUUGAAGUUAUAAGAGGUGUUGAUCUUAGUCCAUCACCAACAUCAAUACAAAAUAAUAUUAGAAAUAAUAAUAAUAAUAAUAAUAAUAAUCAACGUAAUGGUGGACAAAAUCAAUGGAGACAACAACAAAAUUUAACAGAUCAACAGCAGCAACAGCAGCAACAACAACAACAACAGCAAAGAAUAAUUAAUGAACAAAAUCAAAAUUCAACAUUUACUAAAUUACGAAGAAGAUUGUCACUUGAUUCAACAAGAGAUUUAUCUGAUACAAGUGAUGAUGAAUCAUGUACAACAAGAAGAAAUAAAUCACGUAAUCAUCGAACAAUUGAUCAGUAUGAAGUCGAAAUCGAAAGAUUACAAAAUAGUGUGGAUAGACUACGUGCACGUUUGGGUGCACCAGAUGAUGGAGAUAUUAAUGGAAAUGCACCAGAUACUAAAAUGAAGAAUAUAAUCACCAGGACAAAUAAUAAUGUUAAAAAAUUAAUGAAGUCUACGUAUGUUUAAUUGAUUGUGUGUGUUUCUACUCGCUGCCUUAAAACUCUCUGGCUUGAUCUGGAUCGUGGUGUUGAUAUCUGUGGAGGAGGAAUUGCGAAGAGAACAACAAAAAAUGUCGGCAGCAUUGUCGUACAAACAGCGCGUGAUAGAUGCACAGGAACAACAGAUUGCAGCAUUGGAUG